UACGUAGGGUGCGAGCGUUAAUCGGAAUUACUGGGCGUAAAGCGUGCGCAGGCGGUUUGUUAAGUCAGAUGUGAAAGCCCCGGGCUUAACCUGGGAAUGGCCUUUGUGACUGCACGGCUAGAGUGUGUCAGAGGGGGGUAGAAUUCCACGUGUAGCAGUGAAAUGCGUAGAGAUGUGGAGGAAUACCGAUGGCGAAGGCAGCCCCCUGGGAUAACACUGACGCUCAUGCACGAAAGCGUGGGGAGCAAACAGG
This 253-nucleotide ribosomal RNA is filed under the name uncultured bacterium. RNAcentral's name for it is "partial 16S ribosomal RNA". It matches the Rfam family "Bacterial small subunit ribosomal RNA", at positions 524 to 776 of the family's 1533-position model. The record is from RNAcentral.